RNAcentral lists this ribosomal RNA (253 nucleotides) under uncultured prokaryote. RNAcentral's name for it is "partial 16S ribosomal RNA". It matches the Rfam family "Bacterial small subunit ribosomal RNA", at positions 524 to 777 of the family's 1533-position model. The record is from RNAcentral.
UACGUAGGGGCUAGCGUUAUCCGGAAUUACUGGGCGUAAAGGGCGCGCAGGCUGUUAUGCGAGUCUGCUGUGAAAUGUACCGGCUCAACCAGUGCCUUGCGGCGGAUACUGCAUAGCUGGAGUACUGGAGAGGCAAGUGGAAUUCCCAGUGUAGCGGUGAAAUGCGUAGAUAUUGGGAAGAACACCGGUGGCGAAGGCGACUUGCUGGGCAGCAACUGACGCUGAGGCGCGAAAGCCAGGGGAGCAAACGGGA